RNAcentral lists this unclassified non-coding RNA (344 nucleotides) under soil metagenome. RNAcentral describes it as "partial contains 5.8S ribosomal RNA, internal transcribed spacer 2, and large subunit ribosomal RNA". The stretch from base 1 to 120 matches the Rfam family "5.8S ribosomal RNA", at positions 35 to 154 of the family's 154-position model. The record is from RNAcentral.
GAUGAAGAACGCAGCGAAAUGCGAUACGUAAUGUGAAUUGCAGAAUUCAGUGAAUCAUCGAGUCUUUGAACGCACAUUGCGCCCCCUGGUAUUCCGGGGGGCAUGCCUGUCCGAGCGUCAUUGCUGCCCUCAAGCACGGCUUGUGUGUUGGGCCUCCGUCCUCCUCCCGGGGGCGGGCCCGAAAGGCAGCGGCGGCACCGCGUCCGGUCCUCGAGCGUAUGGGGCUUCGUCACCCGCUCUUGUAGGCCCGGCCGGCGCUUGCCGACACAUCAAUCUUUUUUCCAGGUUGACCUCGGAUCAGGUAGGGAUACCCGCUGAACUUAAGCAUAUCAAUAAGCGGAGGA